RNAcentral lists this long non-coding RNA (503 nucleotides) under Arabidopsis lyrata. Its description in RNAcentral is "long non-coding RNA (ALYR_LNC000702)". Lineage: Eukaryota; Viridiplantae; Streptophyta; Magnoliopsida; Brassicales; Brassicaceae. The record is from RNAcentral.
AUAGCUUCUCUUUUGGCGGGUGGAUCCGCAAACCCGCAACUCUCUACGGGCUUAUCCGCAUGAACCUGCAACCCGUAGUGGAUAAAAAUAUUAUUCAAAAAAAAUAACAAAUGAUGUUUAAUUUUACGGGACGGGGUUAUAUGGUGCAACGGGUUUAGAUCAAUAUUAAUAUUAAACAAUAUACUAUGGAUGAAAUCCUAGAAUUAAAAAUCAAAAUUUAAUUAUAAAAUCAGAAACACUAAACAAAAUAAACAAUAUUAACAAAACAAAUACAACUUAAAAUUUUGCAAAAUAAUUUUUUAGUUAUAAAAAAAUUGACCCGCGGUGUACCGCGGGGUAAAAUCUAGAUUUGGAAGUUUAAGGAGAAAUUUUUUAAAAAAAAAAUAAUAUCUCCGCGGUGUACCGCAAGAAAAAUCUUUCUCCUAAACUGAGGCAAAAAGAAGAAGAAAGCCAAAUGUCGUUUAAGUGUAUAUAUAGAUAUACCAUUUAAACCUAAAACACAA